This is a long non-coding RNA of Folsomia candida, 1638 nucleotides long. RefSeq lists it as uncharacterized. The record is from RefSeq and is a predicted model, not a curated record. The transcript is spliced from 6 exons. NCBI's taxonomy places the organism in Eukaryota, Metazoa, Arthropoda, Collembola, Entomobryomorpha, Isotomidae.
GUCUUCCACUCUUCGAUCAUGAGUCUCGUGAUUGGGACUCUUUACUGCACAAAGUACAAUUAUCAAUUCGGAAUUGAUAGAAUGUUUCAAGCUUUGCUGGAUUAUGACACAAAGUUGGGACCGGAUACAUGGUUCCACGUGAAAACUUGCAUCUUAUCACUGAUCGAUAGGCUUGUAAAAUUUGAUAUCUCAGUGUCGAAAGAAACUAUUCAGGAAACAUUGGUACUCCUGCAGGAAUGCGAAGAGCACGGACUUCAUGUCACGACCGUGAUUGAAGAAACUAGUGCAAAUCCACAAAUGGCGGAGGAUUACAAUUUUCCAAUUAAUUACGGAACUAAAACGGUCGCUUAUGAAUCCAGAUAUUUGCAGUAUUUACUGCGACAAGUGACAGAAGUUUACAUGUGAUUGAGUGUUAUAUCAUUGAAUAUCGUUGGUAAAGAAUUAUGUCCCCAGACCCAUUUAGUACCCUGAACCUUCGCCCGGCUGUCGGCUCAUAGUAUCCGUUCCCAUCAUCAUGCCCCGAUCUCUCCAGUACUUGACGAUCCAGCGUCGCUAUAUUUACAAGAUUUUAAAAACAUGCUUAGAUCUCAAGUUUUUGACAUCAAUUAAUUAUGUACCUUGUAGUGAGCAAUGAUCACGAAACCUGAAUACGUCCAAGCGACGUUGUAGACAAUAACGCAUGCAAUUGGUCCAACUGUAGGAACAAUUAAUUAUAAUCGGUCCCACAGGAAGUAUAUACAUAAAUUAUUCAGGUAAUACCAUCCCAAGUAACUGUGAGAGGUCUGUACGUCAGCAGGACGAAUAUUGCAAUGAUCAUGACGAAAGCCAUUAUCCACAUCACUGGGCAUAUUCAUAAUAGUAAUUUAUAAGAUAAUAGUUCAUCGUAAUUUUAUAAGCAUUUUAAAACCUGAGCAAAGAAAUGUCGUCCUGUGGGAAAUUAUUAUGAAUAUAAAUUAACUUAAUACUUAUAAUUAUUACAAUAAUAAUUGCAAUCAUACAUAACUAUCCAAGGCAUGUACAUGUAGGGGUGCACCUACAGGAAAUACAUAAGUUUUGGUAAUUAAAAUUUUAAAUAAGUCGAGUGCAUAUUUUUACGGUUUUCUUGAUCAGGGCAUAGACCACCAUCAUCCCAGUUACGAAGUACACCGCUUCGGCAACAAUGACGGCUUUUGCAAAUGGCUUCCACACUUUAGAAAUUGAGCAUAUUUUAUUUUAUAACUUCUCUGAUGGAUAUUAUCUUAUCGUGAUUGGUGUUCAGAUAUAUAUGUAUACGUACGAGGCCAUAAUCUCUGGAUAAGCUCUGGGUUCUCCCGCAUGUAAUAGUAGUCAAAGUCGUUUUUAAACCGAUUCUGCCACCAAAUGUCCGUCUCGUCAGGUCUUUCAAUCAGGAACAUGAACAGGACGCCAAUCGUGGACAGAGCUGCGGACUUUUCAACUCUUACAUUCAGAAAGAGGAUGAUGACCCAUGCCCCCUCACGAAGGGUACAAGCUCUCAAAAAUUGGUCAGGAAAUGAGAAUCCUUGCAACGGGAUGUUACUGUCUUGGCGUUGCAGCUCAGAAAUCAUUUUAUUUUGAUCCAUGUUUUCAGGGGGUGGUUAAAAUUUUUUAAAGGUGCUGAAGUAGUGUCAAGUUUCUAAU